Molecule: non-coding RNA, 468 nt
Organism: Podarcis muralis (Common wall lizard)
Lineage: Eukaryota; Metazoa; Chordata; Lepidosauria; Squamata; Lacertidae
Source: RefSeq, a predicted model, not a curated record
GAGAGAGAGAGAGAGAGAGAGACGCAGCAGACGUAGCAGACGCAGCCUGCCAGAGGUCCCACCCGUGUGAGCGGAGUCGAAAUCCCUCCAGGAUGCAGCUGUUGUUUUCUCCCAUCGUGGCUUGUGGAGGAACCGAAUCUUGAAGUUUCUCAGAGGUCUUAUCUCUCCAACCCUUGCUUCAAUGUCUCGGAACAGUCCCCCACAAGCAAUGUGCCAAUCCUUCUGUGUUCAUAUAUUGCCAUCUAGUGUGAGCAGAAGAAGUUGCAAGCAGAUUCAUAGCCAGAGAAUGAUGGGAAGGCAAGGAAUGCCGUGUGGAGCAGUUCCACCACCAAAGAGAAGCAGAACUGGCUUCACAAGCUGCCUGGGUGGGAGACCACCUGGAAAUCAUCUGUAAGCUGCUUGAGAUACUUUGAGAAAGAAUAGGGGUAGAAAUGUGAAAUAAAUAAUGGGUCCAUUCCCCCCCCCCAA